CAGGCCUAACACAUGCAAGUCGAACGAAGCCUUCGGGCUUAGUGGCGCACGGGUGCGUAACGCGUGGGAAUCUGCCCUUUGCUUCGGAAUAACAGUGGGAAACUACUGCUAAUACCGGAUGAUGACGCAAGUCCAAAGAUUUAUCGGCAAGGGAUGAGUCCGCGGCAGAUUAGUUAGUUGGUGGGGUAAUGGCCUACCAAGACGAUGAUCUGUAUCCGGCCUGAGAGGGCGCACGGACACACUGGAACUGAAACACGGUCCAGACUCCUACGGGAGGCAGCAGUGGGGAAUUUUGCGCAAUGGGGGAAACCCUGACGCAGCAACGCCGCGUGGAGGAUGAAAUCCCUUGGGAUGUAAACUCCUUUCGACUGGGAAGAUAAUGACGGUACCAGGAGAAGAAGCCCCGGCUAACUUCGUGCCAGCAGCCGCGGUAUACGAGGGGGGCGAGCGUUGUUCGGAAUUAUUGGGCGUAAAGGGCGCGUAGGCGGCUUGAUAAGUUUGGUGUGACAUCUAUGGGCUCACUCCAUAGCCUGCGCCCAAAACUGUCGGGCUUGCGAAAGGCACCAGCGAAUUUUCUUUACGUCCAACUUACCUCUUUCAUAUCCUCCA
This 609-nucleotide ribosomal RNA is filed under the name uncultured bacterium. RNAcentral's name for it is "bacterial SSU rRNA". It matches the Rfam family "Bacterial small subunit ribosomal RNA", at positions 43 to 723 of the family's 1533-position model. The record is from RNAcentral.